This is a non-coding RNA of Ceratotherium simum simum (southern white rhinoceros), 1000 nucleotides long. The record is from RefSeq and is a predicted model, not a curated record. Lineage: Eukaryota; Metazoa; Chordata; Mammalia; Perissodactyla; Rhinocerotidae.
AACAAAGAUAAAGAUUGGGAAACUAAUCCUUAUAGGAAACAAAACCUGGUCAUUAUUUUCUUGUGCCGCUAUACACAGAGAUGCUGCACAAGCAACCAGGUGGAUGCUGAUGCCAUACACAGAGACUGGAAGAACAAGUAAGAGUCAGAGGUUGGGUCAUAGAUUUAGGAGACAUUAGUCAUUAAGAUGGUAACUGAAGUCAUCAGAGAAAAAGGGCUGGCUCAGAAAGGACAUAGAAUCUGAGGAGAGAAAAGGACCAAGUACAGAAUUCAAGGGAAUAGUAAAAUUUAAGAGGCAGGUAGAAAAAGAAUAGGCCAUGAAGGCUGAGAAAGAAUUUCUAAAUGGUGGAAAGAGAAAUCAGAAAGAUUAGAGUACUGGAAAUUAAGAGAGAAUUACAAGCAUAAAUGAUUCCUCUAGUUUAAGGGACUAGACUGAGCACACACAUUUACAUCCCCUGCCUCCAAAAACAUGCUUAGGUGAAACACAAAACCUGCUAUAUGACAAAAAAGGAUUACAGAGAAAUGUCCCAGUAGAAGGCCCGAAAAUUUGAACAAAUUCUUGAAGACAGAGGAUAAGAUCAUAUUAGAUAAGAAAAACAGGACAAUGUAGCCCACAAUCUAAUGCAUACAGAGAAGUGGGCAGAAGGAGCAGGGUGCUGAUGAGAGCCCAGAAAGAUGCCCAAGCUUCAACUGAACAAGACCUGGAACAAACUGUGUGGUAGGAAGAAUGAUUAACAGAGUAAACUUCCUAUUUGAAUACAAGUGACAUCCUUCAAAUGAGUGAGGAAAGGCUGGACACUAAUGUCAUAGGGACAGCUAGAUGGCCACCUGGGAAAGGACAGAUCUCUCUCUCACACCACAGAGCAGGAUACAAUUAAAAUGCAUUCAAGAUCUAAAUGUAAAAAAUAAAAUCACAUUCUAGAAGACUACAUACGACAAUGAUUUUACAAUGUUAGAGUGGGAAAUGCCCAACUAUGACUGAAAAUCCAGGAAUCAGAAAA